UACAGAAGCCUCAAGCGUUACCCGGAUUUACUGGGCGUAAAGGGUGUGUAGGUGGUGUGAUUAGUCUCGCGUCAAAUCUUAGGGCUUAACCCUGAGCGCGCGUGAGAAACGGUCACACUAGAGGAAGUGAGAGGUGUGCGGAACUCAUGGUGUAGGGGUGAAAUCCGUUGAUAUCAUGGGGAACACCAAAAGCGAAGGCAGCACACUGGCACUCUCCUGACACUGAAACACGAAAGCGUGGGUAGCGAAUCGG
RNAcentral lists this ribosomal RNA (253 nucleotides) under uncultured prokaryote. RNAcentral's name for it is "partial 16S ribosomal RNA". It matches the Rfam family "Bacterial small subunit ribosomal RNA", at positions 524 to 776 of the family's 1533-position model. The record is from RNAcentral.